This 910-nucleotide unclassified non-coding RNA is filed under the name Hevea brasiliensis (rubber tree). The record is from RNAcentral. Lineage: Eukaryota; Viridiplantae; Streptophyta; Magnoliopsida; Malpighiales; Euphorbiaceae.
AGUAAGUUGCUUCUGCAGAUCCAGAAUGUAUUCAGCUUGAGCUUGAUUAGUACACCUCGUCACAUGAGCAAUCAGGCAUUGUGCAUGAAAUGCAUGCCCACAUGGAAAGACAUAGAAAGGAGCCAUUGGUCCAACAGCCAUAUAACCUGUAGUCAUUCGAUAGUCACCACCCACAUUUAAUAUUUUCCGCCGGCAAACCCCACAUUCCUCAUCCCGAUCAAUUACAGUAUAUCGCUGAGCAAGAGCGCUGAUGUCAUUUCUAAUGUUAUCGGCACCACGGGUUGCAUCAUUCAUCUCCUGCUUUAGUUUUUCAAUUUGCUCAUUGUAAUCUUCUAAGGAUGAACAAAUUGCUUCCUUGAAGUCAUCAAUUAAAGCAAAGUCUGGGAAGAAGGGUAAAAUGUCCUCAAUCUUUAACAGACCAUCAGUUUCCUUGAGAAAAGCAAUUGCCUUUCGUAUAUUCUCCCUUUUGGUUCCUUUUUCCUGCUCAAUGACAUGCUUAGCAAUCAUAAGCCAAAGCUUCUUCCUCAAGUCCUCAUCAUCUUCUACCUUGUCUGCUUCAGCCAUAGCAAGCUCUGGAUCAACCUGUAAUGCCAGGGCAACUGCUUCUUCAUGCAUAGACAUCAUGCUGUAUAUAUGAACACAAGCUCGCAUUCUCUUUUCCUUGAGGCAAAGGCGUAGCGCAUAUUUGGGAUCAUAAAAGAAUUCAGGUCCACCUGGUUGCCCUUUACCAAACUUGCAUUCUAGGAAACGCAGAAGAGCACUCUCAUCUUCCUUUUUGGCAUAUAAGGAAAGUAACAGAUUGUGAACUCCGGGAUCCUCAUUCUGUAAACGAUGAACACAAUACUCCAGGUACUUGAUUACUUCAUGAGUUUCAUUCUUUGCAUGUGGUUCACUUGAAUAACGCAUCAUU